UUCCCUGUGGCUCAGUUGGUAGAGCAUGGUGUUUGCAACUCCAGGGUUGUGGGUUCGAUUCCCACGGGGGACC
Molecule: transfer RNA, 73 nt
Filed under: Salmo salar (Atlantic salmon)
Lineage: Eukaryota; Metazoa; Chordata; Actinopteri; Salmoniformes; Salmonidae
Rfam family: tRNA
About the family: Transfer RNA (tRNA) molecules are approximately 80 nucleotides in length.
Source: Rfam by way of RNAcentral